CACAACUUCUUUAUCCAGUCAUCUGUCGAUGGACAUUUAGAUUGUUUCUGUGUCUUGCCUGAUGUAAAUAGUACCGCUAUGAACACUAGGGUGUGUAU
Molecule: non-coding RNA, 98 nt
Organism: Vicugna pacos (alpaca)
Lineage: Eukaryota; Metazoa; Chordata; Mammalia; Artiodactyla; Camelidae
Source: RefSeq, a predicted model, not a curated record